ACGCUGGCGGCGUGCCUAAUACAUGCAAGUAGAACGCUGAAGAGAGGAGCUUGCUCUUCUUGGAUGAGUUGCGAACGGGUGAGUAACGCGUAGGUAACCUGCCUUGUAGCGGGGGAUAACUAUUGGAAACGAUAGCUAAUACCGCAUAACAAUGGGUGACACAUGUCAUUUAUUUGAAAGGGGCAAUUGCUCCACUACAAGAUGGACCUGCGUUGUAUUAGCUAGUAGGUGAGGUAACGGCUCACCUAGGCGACGAUACAUAGCCGACCUGAGAGGGUGAUCGGCCACACUGGGACUGAGACACGGCCCAGACUCCUACGGGAGGCAGCAGUAGGGAAUCUUCGGCAAUGGGGGCAACCCUGACCGAGCAACGCCGCGUGAGUGAAGAAGGUUUUCGGAUCGUAAAGCUCUGUUGUAAGUCAAGAACGAGUGUGAGAGUGGAAAGUUCACACUGUGACGGUAGCUUACCAGAAAGGGACGGCUAACUACGUGCCAGCAGCCGCGGUAAUACGUAGGUCCCGAGCGUUGUCCGGAUUUAUUGGGCGUAAAGCGAGCGCAGGCGGUUUGAUAAGUCUGAAGUUAAAGGCUGUGGCUCAACCAUAGUUCGCUUUGGAAACUGUCAAACUUGAGUGCAGAAGGGGAGAGUGGAAUUCCAUGUGUAGCGGUGAAAUGCGUAGAUAUAUGGAGGAACACCGGUGGCGAAAGCGGCUCUCUGGUCUGUAACUGACGCUGAGGCUCGAAAGCGUGGGGAGCGAACAGGAUUAGAUACCCUGGUAGUCCACGCCGUAAACGAUGAGUGCUAGGUGUUGGAUCCUUUCCGGGAUUCAGUGCCGCAGCUAACGCAUUAAGCACUCCGCCUGGGGAGUACGACCGCAAGGUUGAAACUCAAAGGAAUUGACGGGGGCCCGCA
Molecule: ribosomal RNA, 910 nt
Filed under: uncultured bacterium
Lineage: Bacteria
Description: bacterial SSU rRNA
Rfam family: Bacterial small subunit ribosomal RNA
Source: RNAcentral